GUUUCAAUUCCUCAUAGGCAGGCUAUCGGCCUUAUGGAGAUCGAUGAAAUCCUGAAAUCGGCUGAAG
Molecule: small RNA, 67 nt
Filed under: Acididesulfobacillus acetoxydans
Lineage: Bacteria; Bacillati; Bacillota; Clostridia; Eubacteriales; Peptococcaceae
Description: Peptococcaceae bacterium INE non-coding RNA
Source: RNAcentral